Molecule: non-coding RNA, 803 nt
Organism: Cinara cedri
Lineage: Eukaryota; Metazoa; Arthropoda; Insecta; Hemiptera; Aphididae
Source: the annotation of a GenBank genome assembly
GUAUGUUCCGUCGUCGAGUUUCUAUUAUAUUAUUAUUGUUAUAUAUAUAUGUAUAUAUAUAAGGAGCCUGCGAAAAGGAAAAAAAAAAAAAAACUAAAAUAACACUCCGUGACACGCCGCCAAGACCCAAUAACGUCGUCGUCGUUGUCGUCUCCGGGGUUUAUUACCUUCGGAGAGAUCCCGCGUCAUGUCAUAUAUGCAUAUAUAUACGAUAUUUAUAUAUAUAUAUAUAGACGACCCGGAAUCGAUACAAACGGCACGAGCGGCGGGGUGGGGGAGGGGAGAGGGUGAACCCAUCGGAAGAGAGCAGCGAUAUUAUAAAGAGCGGAGAAAAAAAAAAAAAACGAGAAAAAAAAGGAAAACGAAAGGGGAACAACAACAGAGAAAAAAAAAAAAAAAUAAACAAACACGUACACACACGAAUACGAUUUACUGCUCUGCUUUACGCGUGAUGUUUAUAUAUUUAUCGCCUGUUUUACAUAAUAUUAUUAUACGUGUACAUUCCGAAUAAUAACGCUCGGGGACGUUACGGCGAUAAUAUUAGUUUUCCGAUACGAUACGAGAACGCGGCCUCCCCGAGAAAGGGUCGGUGUCCGCGGCGGCAGUGGCGAGUGUAUUAUGUAAAAAAAACAUCGCCGAAAAACCGACCGACUCCUCGCCCUAUCGUAACACACACACACACACACACACAUGCACACAUAUAUUAUAUACACUCGCGUAUUAUACUUACGUUUGUGUUUGCGGUACUUACCCGAUCGCGCUGGCCGUGCCGCCCGGCAUAUCCCGCGCCAAAUGAAAUGCUG